GUUCCUUCCUGACCACCCUUUCAGAGCCGACCUUUCACCCUGAUGGGGAAGGGCGGUGUGGGGAAGGGGGCUCUAAAUGGAAGCAGGGGCUCCAGUGGAGGCUAAGAUCAUCUGCAAACUUCGGGAACCCUGUUUAUUUAUCUCAGUCUCCCAGCUGGCAAUCAACAAACCCAUAUUACAGUGAUGAUCCGAGUUCCUGUCUCCUGCAGCAGGAAAGGGGGGUACAAUGGGAGACCGUCCCACCCACCUUUCAGGAAAAGAGGAAGGCUGGCCAGUUGGACCUGGUGACCAGCCCUGCGGCUUCCUAUGAAUUCUGUAACCUUCCUCAGCCUCCGUUUUGCCUUAAGAAGGGGACUAGCAGAAUGAGCUUCAUACUUUUGUAAGUGAUAAACAGUCCCAGAGGUGACGUGAUUUGCCCGAAGUCGGGCGACUUCCUGGAACUGGAAACCAAUCGGAAGCCUUGCACGUCGGCGCCCUUUCCGCUGCUAUCAGGUUACCUUCGGAGCCCGCGGACCCGCUUCUGAAAAGGAAUGACGAGGUCGCCGGGGGAGAGCCCCUGAAGGAGGAAUUAGUCGCAUUGGUAACAGCUAAUGGCAGGGGAUGAGGGAGUGCGCGCUGACGCCGUGUGCAGCCGGCUUCCCCCGCCCACCGCCGAACGUGAACAAUUUUCAAAUCGUUGUAGGAGAUCAUGAAUUUUAGUGGGUGCGUCUUCCAGCGGGGGCUGGGAACUUACCUGUUUUGUUUACCCAGCUGAGUGCCUAAAGCAGAGUAGGGUGCUAAUAAAAUACCUGCCUCGUGGAUGACUGUGAGGCCCCAUAUGCCCCAUUCCGUCCUAGAGAAGUGGGGAGACUGGGGGAGCCAACCCCACCUGGGAGGCACUUAAGCCCUUCCCAGUUUUUCUCAAUUAUGGCUUUGUAAUGAAUAUUCUUUGUUCAUAAAUCCUUGACUGCAUCUCUUGAUUAUUUCCUUAGGAUAUUUUCCUAGAAGGGGGAUUACUAUGAAGGGCACGCAGAUACUUAAAGCGCUGGCUUCACAGCCCCUCCCGCUGAGCAGGAAUGAGUCAGCCUCCCAGCAGGCUGGCCCAGCCUGGGCAUUAGCAGGCUUCAUUUUAUUUUGCACCCUCUCGAUAAAACAAAAAUAGUAUUUUGUUUGCAUCUCUUUGUCGACUAAUUAGAUGGAGGUGGAACAAAUGUUAAAGAAACCAUCUAAGAGAAAUCCUGCGUGAGCCAGGAGGCCGUGAGGUGAGGCACAUUCUGCCCAGUAAAGGGAAACCUAAGGGCACCUAUUGUUUGGAGCCAUUUGACCUGAAGUUGUCAACAUCUGAGCCUUGCCACAGCGGCUUCCCCUGAGCCAGCGAGGGGGAGCUGUGACUUAGGAGUUUCCCUCUGUUUGUUAUAUUCGUUUCCUAAUGAGCAGUUAAUGUUAUAAAACGAGUGAAAAACGAGGAUACACUUUUUUAAAUUGAAGUAUAGUCAGUUACAAUGUGUCAAUUUCUGAUGUGCAGCACAAUGUCCCGGUCAUGCAUGUACAUACAUUCAUUUUCAUAUUCUUUUUCAAUAAAGCUUAUUACAAGA
Molecule: long non-coding RNA, 1574 nt
Organism: Camelus dromedarius (Arabian camel)
Lineage: Eukaryota; Metazoa; Chordata; Mammalia; Artiodactyla; Camelidae
Exons: 2
Source: RefSeq, a predicted model, not a curated record